RNAcentral lists this non-coding RNA (66 nucleotides) under Arthrobacter agilis. Lineage: Bacteria; Bacillati; Actinomycetota; Actinomycetes; Micrococcales; Micrococcaceae. The record is from RNAcentral.
GAGGCGGGGCCACCCCUCCUCCCGGACGAGGGGUGCCGUACCCGGUGUGCGACAAGACGGCCCGUG